UAGCCCAGAAGGGAAUUAUCAGUCAAAUCAACAUCGCUGCUUUAUUGAUUCCAAAUGGGAGGGGGGAAACACCUGAACUCACUGAUUUAUUCCCCCUACGCUGCGCAGGGCAGGGAGUACCGAUUAGGAACAACAGGAUCUGGUGGACUCUGACGUCUCGCACAAACUGCUGCACGGCGUAGUCCUUCAGGUAGCCAUAGCCCCCGUGCAUCUGCAGAGCCUGGUUACAGAUCUGAGGAGAGAACACUCACCAGUGAAGGGACACGGAGGACACGGCAGGGACAGGAGCUUGGGAUGCCGCAGCUCCAGUCCCACCCGCUGGGACACCCGGCAGCAAUGCAUCUGGGCAGCGCUCAGGAAUCCCGUAGGAGGAGAGCAGCU
Long non-coding RNA from Pezoporus occidentalis (night parrot), 381 nucleotides. RefSeq lists it as uncharacterized. The record is from RefSeq and is a predicted model, not a curated record. Lineage: Eukaryota; Metazoa; Chordata; Aves; Psittaciformes; Psittacidae. The transcript has 3 exons.